RNAcentral lists this ribosomal RNA (253 nucleotides) under uncultured bacterium. RNAcentral's name for it is "partial 16S ribosomal RNA". It matches the Rfam family "Bacterial small subunit ribosomal RNA", at positions 525 to 776 of the family's 1533-position model. The record is from RNAcentral.
ACGGAGGGUGCAAGCGUUAUCCGGAAUCACUGGGUUUAAAGGGUGCGUAGGCGGUUUUUUAAGUCAGUUGUGAAAUUCCCCCGCUUAACGGGAGGGACUGCGAUUGAUACUGGGGAACUUGAAUCAGGUUGAGGUAGGCGGAAUGUGACAUGUAGCGGUGAAAUGCAUAGAUAUGUCAUAGAACACCGAUUGCGAAGGCAGCUUGCUGGACCUGUAUUGACGCUGAGGCACGAAAGCGUGGGGAGCAAACAGG